RNAcentral lists this ribosomal RNA (443 nucleotides) under uncultured bacterium. RNAcentral's name for it is "partial 16S ribosomal RNA". It matches the Rfam family "Bacterial small subunit ribosomal RNA", at positions 338 to 795 of the family's 1533-position model. The record is from RNAcentral.
CCUACGGGAGGCAGCAGUGGGGAAUAUUGGGCAAUGGAGGAAACUCUGAUCCAGCAACGCCGCGUGAAUGAUGAAGGUCUUCGGAUUGUAAAGUUCUUUUCUAAGGGAAGAAGAAAGUGACGGUACCUUAGGAAUCCGCCUCGGCUAACUACGUGCCAGCAGCCGCGGUAAUACGUAGGAGGCAAGCGUUAUCCGGAAUGACUGGGCGUAAAGGGUGCGUAGGUGGGUUGACAAGUCAGUAGCGAAACACCGGGGCUCAACUUCGGAACUACUACUAAAAAUGUUGGACUUGAGUGCAGGAGGGGUAAGCGGAAUUCCUAGUGUAGCGGUGGAAUGCGUAGAUAUUAGGAGGAACACCAGUGGCGAAGGCGGAUUACUAGACUGUAACUGACACUGAGGCACGAAAGCGUGGGGAGCAAACAGGAUUAGAUACCCUUGUAGUC